UCUUCGUUUGAUUUGUCAUCUCCUUCUUCCUUCCGAUGCGAGCAGCGGCGGCCGAGGCUCGAAAAAAAAAAUCCCCAAUCCUAAAGGCAAGCCCAUCUCCCUCUAGCUUGCCAAUGAUGACGGGGGUGUAGAUCCUGUACCUAGAUCGGCGACCUUGGCCACUGUAGGCACCGUUCCAUCUCCGCCCCAACGAAUCCAGGUCGUCUCGUUGGCGGCGGUCGCCGGUCGGGCUGCCCGGGCGGACCUCUUCUGUGCUGCGCUGCGACGUUGGGCGAGCAAAUCUCCAGGUAUCGUUCUCCGACGUCUAGAGGACAACCUCGACCUACCAUUGUCUUACCCCAUCCAGUCAUUGUCCACAUGUGGCUUCUCGAUCUACUAUUUUUCUUGCCCCAUCCAGCCAUUCUCCACAGGUAGCCCGCCUACCCCCAUGCCUAGCUCGGACAUCUGCUGAUGGCAAAGAACAGACCUCGGGUCUUCAGGAAUGCAGGACCUCUGGAGACCCCUGGCACAUGUGAUCGAAUGUAGAUGAAAAGAGCGUAAAAACUAAUAGAAUGGAGUACCAUUUCUGGGAAUAAAUGAUCAUUCAAUGGGUCAGAUCGUUUGAUGUAUUGCUGUUGUUGUACAAAAGAAAUAUGUUGCCGAUCCAUUGCGAGAAGAUUAACAGGUGAGUGAGCAGAGGGACAAGAAGGUGCCGUCGUGGUCGGGCAUCGUUUUGUUUUAGUGAAACAAUUUUGUUAGCUCUUUGCUCUUUCCUCAUUUGGUUGUAAUAACACUGAUUGUAAAAUAAAGGCAAAAUUUUUACAUUUUUGUAUGCAAAAAAUAAGCUCUCCCCUGUAUGGCAGAAUUUAUACCUGACCAAAUUGUUAUUGCAAGUUUAGUGAUGAUAUUAAGUGAAGUGUACAAAUGACUAUGCAGCGUACAGUUCUCUUCCUGCUAGUCAAAUGAUAUUAUUAAUGCAUACUCAUUAGAUUAGCUCAGGAGCAAAUAUUUUUAAGUACGGAUGUGAUAUACAUACAUGGUCUCUUGUGCUCAAACUGAUUCCUAUAUGUUUGGUGUCAUCUUUCCAGCACAUAAACCUUGAUGAGCAAGAAGCACGAGCACUGGAGGCAAGGGCUACAACUUUUCUGUUCUCUGCAUUCAAGAUAGCACAACACUAGAAAUGUCCAUGCCAUGUUAUGUAUUGCAUGUCUCUUGUGUAUCUUCUGCUGCUCCAGAUUGAUAAUGUACUCGACAUUAGUGAGUGAGAUGGUCCAGACUCUAGAGUGACAUGUACUCAAAUAUUUGUGCCUGAGAUGGUUUCACAUGUACUCAGAUCUUUAUGCCUGGGAUGGUCUAACUAGACGUGUGCUCAACUAUUUA
Aegilops tauschii subsp. strangulata is the source of this 1359-nucleotide long non-coding RNA. RefSeq lists it as uncharacterized. NCBI's taxonomy places the organism in Eukaryota, Viridiplantae, Streptophyta, Magnoliopsida, Poales, Poaceae. The record is from RefSeq and is a predicted model, not a curated record.